UCUUUGGGGACAACAUCACCAAGUUUCCUUCUUAUUGCACUGCAAGUUAAAAAAAGUCAGUGACUAAUGACUCUUCUUAUCUCUUUGUUCAUCCAUGUGCUUAGCUGCAAAAAUUCUAAAAAGAUACCCCUAAUGAGGGGUGGCGGAUGUGCGUCCUCUAGGGCCUCGUCGGCCAGAGAAGGAGGGGAGGAGCGGUUGCCGACGAGCGAGGUGGCUCUGUUUGGACCGGCCAUGGUGUUGGCUGUUGACUCCCACCGGUCUUGUCUCCCCCAACCCUUCCAUGGAGCUCGCUUAGCCACCGGCCGGCACAUCUUCUUGCUUACAACACCAAGGUAGGCAAAAAUUCUUUUUUUCCCCAUGAUGUGGUUUCUUUUGCUUGGAUGGAUUACAACUGGUUGGGAGUAGCGGAUGUGUGAAGUUUUGCCCGUAAUCUAAAUUCUGCAUUUUAUCUAGCUAAGUUAAGCAAAAGCUUGUUUUUUUACAACGACUGAAGCAAAAUCAUUCCCUUGCAGGCCAUGUAGCUUACUUUUUAACUGUUAUUGCUGAUUGGAGCCAUUGCUAUUGGCUAUUUAUACAUAAGAUGGAAGGUGAAUUGAAAUUUUUGUGAGGGGGAUUGGAUUUUAUCCAGAUGGCUUGCUUCUCGUGAUGAGACUGAUACUAAUGAACUAAUGAAGACAUGAAGGUUGCAUCUUAUCCCCAUUUCCCUUUCUACAUUUGCCAUUUAGUCGAUUAACAUACAUUGUACUAUUUCCCUUUCUAUAGUUGCCAUUUAGUUGAUUAACAUACAUUGUACUAUUUUCGGUUAAGCACACUAUGGGUCAAUGAAUGUGGAAUUAGCUACUUUUUAUAUCCCUGGACCAUAUAUAUUACAUGCAUCAGUACUUGAUGCAUCUCUGAUAUGCUUUUGCUUUUUAUUGUUACCCUUAAUUACUACUUUUCUAUGAACCCAAUGUUUAGGUUGCAGGCUCAACUGCAUAUCUAUAUUCUCUGUAUGAAUUUUUUAGCUAGCUUUGAAGCGAAUGUGGUGAUCAAGGCUCUAAUAUGUAUUCUUUAUUUGCAUGAAUGUUGUGUGCAUAUAGGUACUUGCAAUGGAAUCUUUUUCUCAUAGACGAGAAGUACUUUGAAAACAGAUUUUAAAAAUUGAUAUAAUUUUACAAGUGUGCAGAUAGUUGACAAGGCAACAAUGCUAUUGUUCAAAUGUAGUCGAGCCGGGCCUUUGGUGUUUUCGGUGCUAUUGUUCAAAUUUUGCUUUCUUAGAUUCAUUGCAACCAAAAGAUUUGGUAAUAUUUUUUUUCUGGAAACAUGGAUACACUUGUUGGUGUUGUAUACUGGGAUCUGUAAGUAUUGUCAUAGGAAUUUUUUUAUCCUAAGGAUUCACACAGAUUGGAGGGGAAUUAGUAUCUAACAUCUUGUUAAAUGUACACAAACUGGUAUAUCUUCAUGGCUUUUAAGCUAUAUAAUUGUAGAUGAUAAUUUAUGCUUUGAUAAAGUAAUAUCUUACUUCUCGGUGCUUGGAUAAAAUAGUAUAGUUUGCUGAAAAUAUGUUCAUACUUUAUAUCACAGAAGUACAAACUGACAAUCAGCCUAUGGUGAAGUUAAAAGAAGCAAAAGUACUGUGUGUAUAAUCAUUAGAUUUGUUAAGGUGAAUCAGAUUUAUUUUUGCUGCUGUACGUAGAAUGCAGUUUAUCUUAAUUCCUGUUGCUGCGUUUGGCCCUACAUGUCGAUGGGUGUGGCCGCUCCCUUGUUAGUUUGUUGCUCGAUUUGGUUUGGUCCAAGGUAGGCUGUGUGUUGUCUACGUCUGUAUAUUCGUUGGCUGGAUAAGAAGAUUUUGCAGGUUUUUCUCUGGUAUGGUUGCUUCUGCUCUGAGUGCAGGUUCCUAUGAUUUCUAGACAGUGUAUUGGUUUUAAGGAUUGCUCGGUUAGUUUAAAAGUGCUUUGAUUUCCUUCUUGUCUUCUCGCACAGACCUUGAAGAUGGCUAGGUUUGCAUGGGCAUGGGGUUUGGUACACCUGGCCUCUAUUUAGAUUUGUUAAUAAAUUCAGUUUAUCACGAACACCAUAAAUGUGUUAUCAGUUUACUAUCUUGGCACAUGAGCUAUUUUUCAGUCAAUGCGUGCCGAGUCCACUUGGAACUGAAUAUGUAGUGUUUUCUUUGAAACUGAGUAACUGUGGUUGAAAUUUAGUUUCAUUUGGACGAGCUACCCAAGUAUCAUCAAUUCAUGAUGGCUAAUUUAUCUUGGUUCUUGAUGAAUCCGCCAUGGUCCUGAUUUAAGAGUUUUUAUGUUAUUUCUCAGCCUAUUUGAGCUAUUAUCGUUCUGUUUAACACACACAAUUGUAGCUGCCCUUUUUGAUUCAGAAAAAUGGUCUUCAUGUCUGUGGUUUGGUUAAACAUUUUCUCAGCAUAUCUCUAUUCAUCAGUCUUAACUCGCAUAACAUCCAAUAUAGUUUGUCUGAUCCAGACUAAAUGUUGGUUGUUGCUAUGUUUUGUGUGCAGUCUAUUUCUCUUCUAUCUUGGUCAUUAAAGAUGUGACAAGAAAGAAAUUUCAAAAGGUUUGAUAAUCUAGAAUGCUCAUAUGGAGUUAUUUGAACCAGUUCUUUUAGUAGCUGCUGAGACCAGAUGUAUCAGAAAAAUUUAAAAUAUACCAACAGUAGGGUUGACCAAUAAUGCUGAAUUGAUUCAGUCUUCAGGCCUUAUGCACAAUUUCCACAGUGUUAAGAUAAUAUAUGCUUUAAUGCUCCUGUGCACUGCUUUAAUGCUUCUGCUUGUUUGUCUGAAUCUUCUUGUUGUUCAUUAAUUUCUUGUCGCCUGCUGUUGCCCAUGAGGGGGAGUCGGACCCAUCAUGGAUAACCAUCCCUGAUGAGCUUUUAAUACAUACUGAUGGUGACAAAAUUGAUGCCAUUGUUCAGGUUGUAUACAAAGAUGUUCCUACUAGGUAUUCUGACGUUGAUUAUCUAAAAGAAAGAGCAAUUCUAACACCAACGAACCAAGUAGCUGAAAAUUAUAAACGAGCGCGUUCUAUCUUUAGUGCCUACCAGUGAGAGAGUACCUAAGCUGUGUCAAGUGUCUAUGCCUAUGUUUUAUAUGCAAAUACCUUUCCUCUUUUGCACAAACCAUGCUUCCUGUACAAUGAUAUUUAAUAGCAGCAAACUAAACAGGUUGGUUAGGAAACUGAAGCUGCAGCUACUGAAGAGCCAAAGAACAUUCUUGUUGAACAGGCUAAAGGCAAGAGGUAAAGACUCAUAGUCUGUUACAUCCAACCAGUUCAACGUACGAUAUGGCGUGCCGCCUCUUGUUCUUCCUUUACCUUGUCUUAUUUGACAACCAAAGCAUCCUUCUCUGUGGCUCUCAAAAUUGCUUUCUUCUUCACACGAUGCAUGUUAUGCCAUUUGAUCAAACUACUUUUCUGCCACAACUAUAUUCAAAUGGAUCAUAGGCCCAAUAAAACAUCAUUUUACUUCAAAAUCUAAUAUACGUUUUAUUUAUUUUCCUGUUGCAUGUACAGGCAACUCUUCCUGUUGCAUCAAAAGUAACUUGCUUCGUACAUGCAAACUAAUUAGCCAUAUAGUUAAAUUAGCUACGUAUUAAGAUUCGAUACAUCUACUGCUUAUUUAUGUUGUGUUCUAUUUGCUGUGUCCAAUCUUUAUGCGCUUGUUAUUUUUAUCACACUGUAAUCAAGCUUCUAUUGUUAUAGCAAUACGAAAUCCUAUGCAUCAAGCUUCUGUUCUUAUAGCAAUUACAGUUUUGAUACCUCUGUUUCUUUAUAUCAUCUUGUUGGGUUUCUGUUUCUCUUCAUAUAGGAUACAGAUAUAUGUGAUACUCAUGUGGUCCUUUCGCUGGAAACUUGCUAAUCUUAGGGGUGCUGCUACUGGUGUAAAAACCAUCUUAUCAAAAGAACUAAAGUACUCCCUCCGUUCCAAAAUAGAUGAACCAACUUUGUACUAGAGUUAGUACAAAAUUGGUUCAUCUAUUUUGGAAUGGAGGGAGUAGUAGCUAAUCCAAGCAUUGAAGAAUUGAUGCAGAGGUUACGCUAUAUUGGAAGUCAGAGCAGCGCGUGAAGACUACAUAAGAUAGUUUCUGGUGACCUUCAGUCUAUAUGUCCUAACCAACAACAGCCACCUUUUAUUUUGUAUCAAUCGAUCCAGUAUCUUUCCCCUUUUGGCGUUGCUCUGAGCAAGAUAUGUAUAGCCUUUAGAUUUCCAUUCGUGUAUGAUACUACAUGUACACUUUAGACCUCAUUACUGUCUCUGUGGUCAAAAGAAGUUUGUGAUCACUUGUUCUAUAUAUGUAAUCAACUGCCCUUCUACUAAUAUUUUCAGACGACUAUUUAUGUAUGUUUACACUGGUUAGAGAAAAUCAUCACACUGCCAGCAGCAGUUUUUUAUUUCCAUAUGUUUCAAUAAGAUCUUCCG
Molecule: long non-coding RNA, 4407 nt
Filed under: Triticum aestivum (bread wheat)
Lineage: Eukaryota; Viridiplantae; Streptophyta; Magnoliopsida; Poales; Poaceae
Description: long non-coding RNA (TAES_LNC026190)
Source: RNAcentral